This 336-nucleotide long non-coding RNA is filed under the name Nicotiana benthamiana. RNAcentral's name for it is "long non-coding RNA (NBEN_LNC039591)". The record is from RNAcentral. Lineage: Eukaryota; Viridiplantae; Streptophyta; Magnoliopsida; Solanales; Solanaceae.
CCAACUGAAUCUGGUAUUUACGUGGAGAAAGGUAAAGGGACAGGCCCAUUAUCGUCGAGCUUCGAUGCCAGUGGAUGGUCCCAAGGUUGUCCCUGGACAAAUUUAUCGGUCAUAAAAAAAGUAGACAUAAAUAUUACUCCCUCGAUACUAUUUCACAUUCCCUAUUAUCCCUUGUCAUUGUUCUUGUCCUUUCUCAAAGGUAUAAGACUCUUUAUUUAAGAAUACCCUAAAUACACAAACCAAUGGAACACCAAAGUAGAGAAAUAUUCAAGACAUGCAAGCUAAUACGAUGGCAAUUAAAAUAAGAGACCACUCAGUUUUUUUUUCUUUCUUUUU